RNAcentral lists this transfer RNA (72 nucleotides) under Bos taurus (domestic cattle). It matches the Rfam family "tRNA". Rfam says of the family: Transfer RNA (tRNA) molecules are approximately 80 nucleotides in length. Their secondary structure includes four short double-helical elements and three loops (D, anti-codon, and T loops). Lineage: Eukaryota; Metazoa; Chordata; Mammalia; Artiodactyla; Bovidae. RNAcentral also lists the same sequence under 4 other names. The record is from Rfam by way of RNAcentral.
UCCCUGGUGGCUCAGAGGUUAAAGCAUCUGCCUGCAAUGCAGGAGAUCUGAGUUCGAUCCCUGGGUGGGGAA